GGGUCUGUAGCUCAGAGGUUAGAGCAGGGGACUCAUAAUCCCUUGGUCGCGGGUUCGAACCCCACCGGACCCACCA
RNAcentral lists this transfer RNA (76 nucleotides) under Neisseria subflava. RNAcentral's name for it is "tRNA-Ile". It matches the Rfam family "tRNA". From Rfam's summary of the family: Transfer RNA (tRNA) molecules are approximately 80 nucleotides in length. Their secondary structure includes four short double-helical elements and three loops (D, anti-codon, and T loops). The record is from RNAcentral. Lineage: Bacteria; Pseudomonadati; Pseudomonadota; Betaproteobacteria; Neisseriales; Neisseriaceae.